This 494-nucleotide ribosomal RNA is filed under the name uncultured bacterium. RNAcentral's name for it is "partial 16S ribosomal RNA". It matches the Rfam family "Bacterial small subunit ribosomal RNA", at positions 28 to 507 of the family's 1533-position model. The record is from RNAcentral.
GACGAACGCUGGCGGCGUGCUUAACACAUGCAAGUCGAACGGUGAAGCGCCUUCCUUUUUGGUGGGUGUGGAUGAGUGGCGAACGGGUGAGUAACACGUGAGUAACCUGCCCCCUUCUUCUGGAUAACCGCAUGAAAGUGUGGCUAAUACGGGAUAUCCUGGGUCUGUCGCAUGAUGGGUCUGGGAAAGAUAUUGUUUCGGUGGGGGAUGGGCUCGCGGCCUAUCAGCUUGUUGGUGGGGUGAUGGCCUACCAAGGCGGUGACGGGUAGCCGGCCUGAGAGGGUGGACGGUCACACUGGGACUGAGACACGGCCCAGACUCCUACGGGAGGCAGCAGUGGGGAAUAUUGCACAAUGGGCGCAAGCCUGAUGCAGCGACGCCGCGUGAGGGAUGGAGGCCUUCGGGUUGUGAACCUCUUUCGCCAGUGAAGCAGGCCUGCCUCGUUUGUGGGUGGGUUGACGGUAGCUGGAUAAGAAGCGCCGGCUAACUACGUG